RNAcentral lists this ribosomal RNA (465 nucleotides) under uncultured bacterium. RNAcentral describes it as "partial 16S ribosomal RNA". It matches the Rfam family "Bacterial small subunit ribosomal RNA", at positions 338 to 795 of the family's 1533-position model. The record is from RNAcentral.
CCUACGGGAGGCAGCAGUGGGGAAUAUUGCGCAAUGGGCGAAAGCCUGACGCAGCGACGCCGCGUGAGGGAUGAAGGUCUUCGGAUCGUAAACCUCUGUCAGCAGGGAAGAACGGUCACUGUGCUAAUCAGCAGUGAAUUGACGGGACCUGCAAAGGAAGCACCGGCUAACUCCGUGCCAGCAGCCGCGGUAAUACGGAGGGUGCGAGCGUUAAUCGGAAUUACGGGGCGUAAAGCGCUCGUAGGCGGUAUGUCAAGUCAAGGGUGAAAUCCCCGCGCUCAACGUGGGAACUGCCUUUGAAACUGGCGAACUGAAGUGUGUGAUAGGAUAGUGGAAUUCCAGGUGUAGGAGUGAAAUCCGUAGAAAUCUGGAGGAACAGCAGUGGCGAAGGCGACUAUCUGGCACAUAACUGACGCUGAGGAGCGAAAGCGUGGGUAGCAAACAGGAUUAGAUACCCCUGUAGUC